GAUGAACGCUGGCGGCGUGCUUAACACAUGCAAGUCGAACGGUGAAGGCGGAGCUUGCUCUGCUGGAUCAGUGGCGAACGGGUGAGUAACACGUGAGCAAUCUGCCCCUGACUCUGGGAUAAGCGCUGGAAACGGCGUCUAAUACUGGAUACGAGCUGCGAAGGCAUCUUCAGCAGCUGGAAAGAAUUUCGGUCAGGGAUGAGCUCGCGGCCUAUCAGCUUGUUGGUGAGGUAAUGGCUCACCAAGGCGUCGACGGGUAGCCGGCCUGAGAGGGUGACCGGCCACACUGGGACUGAGACACGGCCCAGACUCCUACGGGAGGCAGCAGUGGGGAAUAUUGCACAGUGGGCGAAAGCCUGAUGCAGCAACGCCGCGUGAGGGACGACGGCCUUCGGGUUGUAAACCUCUUUUAGCAGGGAAGAAGCGAAAGUGACGGUACCUGCAGAAAAAGCGCCGGCUAACUACGUG
RNAcentral lists this ribosomal RNA (468 nucleotides) under uncultured bacterium. RNAcentral's name for it is "partial 16S ribosomal RNA". It matches the Rfam family "Bacterial small subunit ribosomal RNA", at positions 28 to 507 of the family's 1533-position model. The record is from RNAcentral.